GACGAACGCUGGCGGCGUGCCUAACACGUGCAAGUCGAACGGACGAGGCUCCUUCGGGGGGCCAAGUUAGUGGCGAACGGGUGAGUAACGCGUGAGGAACCUGCCUUUCAGAGGGGGACAACAGUUGGAAACGACUGCUAAUACCGCAUAACGUACACGGACCGCAUGAUCUGUGUACCAAAGAUUUAUCGCUGAAAGAUGGCCUCGCGUCUGAUUAGCUAGUUGGCGGGGUAACGGCCCACCAAGGCGACGAUCAGUAGCCGGACUGAGAGGUUGAACGGCCACAUUGGACUGAGAUACGGCCCAGACUCCUACGGGAGGCAGCAGUGGGGAAUAUUAGGCAAUGGGGGAAACCCUGACCUAGCAACGCCGCGUGAA
RNAcentral lists this ribosomal RNA (378 nucleotides) under uncultured bacterium. Its description in RNAcentral is "bacterial SSU rRNA". It matches the Rfam family "Bacterial small subunit ribosomal RNA", at positions 28 to 405 of the family's 1533-position model. The record is from RNAcentral.